GAUGAACGCUGGCGGCGUGCCUAAUACAUGCAAGUCGAGCGAACGGACGAGAAGCUUGCUUCUCUGAUGUUAGCGGCGGACGGGUGAGUAACACGUGGAUAACCUACCUAUAAGACUGGGAUAACUUCGGGAAACCGGAGCUAAUACCGGAUAAUAUUUUGAAACGCAUGGUUCAAAAGUGAAAGACGGUCUUGCUGUCACUUAUGGAUGGAUCCGCGCUGCAUUAGCUAGUUGGUAAGGUAACGGCUUACCAAGGCAACGAUGCAUAGCCGACCUGAGAGGGUGAUCGGCCACACUGGAACUGAGACACGGUCCAGACUCCUACGGGAGGCAGCAGUAGGGAAUCUUCCGCAAUGGGCGAAAGCCUGACGGAGCAACGCCGCGUGAGUGAUGAAGGUCUUCGGAUCGUAAAACUCUGUUAUUAGGGAAGAACAUAUGUGUAAGUAACUGUGCACAUCUUGACGGUACCUAAUCAGAAAGCCACGGCUAACUACGUG
Molecule: ribosomal RNA, 497 nt
Filed under: uncultured bacterium
Lineage: Bacteria
Description: partial 16S ribosomal RNA
Rfam family: Bacterial small subunit ribosomal RNA
Source: RNAcentral